This 253-nucleotide ribosomal RNA is filed under the name uncultured bacterium. RNAcentral's name for it is "partial 16S ribosomal RNA". It matches the Rfam family "Bacterial small subunit ribosomal RNA", at positions 524 to 776 of the family's 1533-position model. The record is from RNAcentral.
UACGGAGGGUGCAAGCGUUGCUCGGAAUUAUUGGGCGUAAAGGGUAGGUAGGUGGUCUCAUUUGUCUGGGGUGAAAGCCUUGAGCUUAACUCAAGAAGUGCCCCAGAAACGGUGAGACUAGAGUCCUGGAGAGGGUCGUGGAAUUCCCGGUGUAGCGGUGAAAUGCGUAGAGAUCGGGAGGAACACCAGAGGCGAAAGCGGCGACCUGGACAGGUACUGACACUCAACUACGAAAGCGUGGGGAGCAAACAGG